Molecule: long non-coding RNA, 353 nt
Organism: Juglans microcarpa x Juglans regia
Lineage: Eukaryota; Viridiplantae; Streptophyta; Magnoliopsida; Fagales; Juglandaceae
Exons: 3
Source: RefSeq, a predicted model, not a curated record
AUGAUAAUAAUCAUCCACCGCAAUAACCUUCAGCCCAUUCCUAUAUUCUACCAGGGAUAUUUUGGACGUUUUCUCUUCUAAUCUCCAACAUUCCCUUCUCGAUCUAACUCCACGUCUGUUUCUUGAUGUUUCUAUUUACCCCAACAAAAGCCCUUACCGAACUUGCUUCUCGUCGCGACAAGAUCUUCAUUUCAACGUGACUUUGUAUGAUGGAGAAGGAUCCAAAAGCAGGCAACAAACAUCCAAAUACCCAUUUGUAGUGUGCUUGGACGACAGGUUGGAAGAUUUCGCUUUUUAUCAAGAUUGUUCGUUCGAGCGAUGGUUUUGCUGCUCAAGUAAAGUUUCAUACAGAU